This is an RNA transcript of Coregonus clupeaformis (lake whitefish), 1639 nucleotides long. RefSeq lists it as uncharacterized. Lineage: Eukaryota; Metazoa; Chordata; Actinopteri; Salmoniformes; Salmonidae. The record is from RefSeq and is a predicted model, not a curated record. The transcript is spliced from 7 exons.
GUAAGUCGCUCUGGAUAAGAGCGUCUGCUAAAUGACGUAAAUGUAAAAUGUGUAUUUAUCCAAUGGUCAUCUUGUUAUCCAUAAUUCACAUUCUAAACAUUUGUGGACACGACCUGUAGUUUUUGUUACAAAUUAAGUACAUCUUAAUGCUCAGUUAAAAGUGUUUAUUAAAAUAAGUAGCCUACCUACAUAGCUGUGAAAUACAAUUCUAAACUUUUUAUAUUCUGUUUCCUUUGCAGCUCCAAAUAAAGACCCUUCACCCCUACCACCCUUCUAUUCAGACUUACUGCUGACACCUUUAGUUUCUCUCUUUCUUUCUCGCUCGCUUUCUUUCUAUCCAUCCUCUUGAUACAGAUCUCUUGAUCCAUCCUCUGGCUGCAUUUUAAAAUGGCUCCUGGCUCCACCCGUAAGCUGUGUCCUAGUUGUAAAACAUCAAUAGGAGUAGCGUCAAAGAAAUGCAAGUUCUGUGGUGCAAAAAUACAGCUAAAGGUAAAGUUAGAGGCCCAAAAAAUGAAGGCAACAGAUGAAUGGGCAAAUAAGACCAUGAAACAUGGAAGAUAUACAACCUUGAUUAAUGCAGCAAACAAGCUGGUACAUAGGUUCCACAAGAUUGGAGUGUACCCCCUGCUACUCCUCAGCAAAAGGAAGAAGGAUAACAUUUGGUCGUCGACUGCGCUGUGUCCUCACAGUGGUAUGAUGAAUCAGACCUCAAUGGCAGCAAUCCAAAGGUUCUAUGAGAGGCAAUCAACACCCAUGCCCCCACACCACAACCCUCCAACCCUCCUCCUGUUGCUGCCCAAGAACUGUCUGAUACAGUUGCACCCCAGGAGACCGAUUUCAUCCUCACCCAGGUUGAACCCCCAAUAUCCCCCACCACCCAGGAGACCAGCUACACCCCCAUCCUCAACCAGGUUGAACCCCCGAUAACCCCCACCACCCAGGAGACCAGCUACACUAUCCUCAACCAGGUUGAACCCCCAAUAAUUCCCACCGCCCAGGAGACCAGCUACACCCAAACCGAACCAAAGAAGACGGGGAGAAAGUCCUGUCACUCUCAAAAAAACCUCCAACCCGCUGAGCAGGACACAGUCAACCCCAUCCAACUCCGACCAAGGAAGAGGAAAUAUGACUACAUGCAAAAAGAGUGUCCAGUGCAUCCUGGGCAAACGAUUUUCCCUAUUCUAGAAAUCCUUGCCAAUAGAACUUCAAAGGAGGGUCAGGAGCAGAAAGUGAGGUGGAAGCCAUGCUCUGGAUGUGGCAAGAAAUGGGAUGAUGACUGGAUCAAGGCCGUAGACUGGGUUUCUCCUGUUUAACCUCUACUUUAGGCACAAAUGGAUUGCUCACCCUCCCUUCACAUUUAUCACUGUCAAUGGUAGGCCAAGUUCUUCAUGAUUUAACGGUGAAACGUUCAAGGAGCAUCUGCAUGCCAACCAUUUGAUCUCAAUCAGUUUCAUGAUAAUAUGCAAUAUGAACCGUUUAGAAAUCACAGCACAUUUUAUACAUAGUCCCCCCCCAUUUUAGGGGACCAAAAGUAUUUGGAAAAAUGCACUUAUAUUUGUGUUGAAGUAGUCAAAAGUUUAGUAUUUGGUCCCAUAUUCCUAGCACACAAUCAUUACAUCAAGCUUGUGACUCUACAAAC